UUCAGAUCUAAAAGGCAAGAAGACAGUUUUUGCCAUUAUUGAAAGACAUAGGAAAAAAACCAUGACAGAACACAAAUAUCACCAUACCGUCUUGUCUUGAAUGUUUCCAACAGCUGACAGUCCGAUGUAAGCCAGAUUCACAAGUAAGAAGUAUCUGCAGAAGAAAGAACCAAUUAUGGUAGAUCCACGACAGUCCUGGCACAAGCUUUGUUGAGAUUAGAUAUAAACUAACAUGUAUAUAAUUAUACAUUCAUGUACAAAGUACACGGGAUUAUAUUGGAGUCACACAUGUCAGCGAGUCCGUUCGUCCGUUCGCCUAUCUGUCCAUCAUGUCCGCUGGGAAGAUUUAAAAAAAUGGCUUCAUUUAUUAGCCUCAACAAGAAUGUUCGUUGUGCACAACCCAAGUUACUAGGCCCAAGGUCAGUAUUACUCUUGGAGGACAAAGAUCAAAUAACUUUAAUUUAGUGUCCGCUCCAUAUUGUCUUAACUGCAACGAAUAUUUAGGUCAAGAAUUCGUUAUUGUAACCGCCCUGCCUUCAGGGUCACUGUCACCGUUGCAUUCAGGUUAAACUUUUAUAUGAUUCUCAAAAUCAUAUAUUUUCUUAACUACUGCCCAUAUUAGCAUCAACCUUCACAUUUGUUGAUUGUGGUAAAACGCAGACAUUUAAUUGUUAGGGGUCAAGCAUCCAAAAGGUCAAAGAAAAGUAUUUUGUAAUUGUGCUGGUUAAAUCUUAGAUUGUUUCUUAUAAUUUCUCAUUCACCCACCCCUACCCCCUAUCUUACCCCCAAAAGGAAAAGAAUCUUAUUCAUCACUCACGCUUACUUAUAUCCUAUAGCAGUAAAUAUUGGUCAGCAUUUCCGAAUAGUCACGCGGGCUUUCCUUACAAUAGUUCUUGAUAUAAAAUUAGGAUUAGUAAAUAGAUGUAGAACACAACCUAGUUCAUUCGGUCAAAGGUCAAGUUCUGACUUAAAAGACCGCACCAUAUUGUCUAAUCUAAUAAAGUAAGCACUAACUGUCAAUUCCAUCUAGCCACUAGGUUAAAGGUCAGUGUGACACAUAUGAGGUCAAAGGUCAAAUAGCUUUGUGUCUGCUACAUAUCUUGUAACCCCAUUUUCCAUACACUCAUAAAACUAGCAAUAAAUAUCAAGAAGACCUGUAUAGAACCCAGAUUAUUAGAUCCAAGGUCAAGGUUACGCUUGAAUGUCAAAAUGAUGACAACAUUGACUUACCCUGCAUCAAAGCAGCGUCUGGGGGUAACAAUAGCUCUAGUUUAUCAUUUUUAGCGGACUAAAUUUGUAAUUAUAUCAACCAUUUGACAAAUAUUUCCUAAACUUUAGGAUAAAUAUUUAAAACAAAAAUCAGGAAAUUGUUUGGGUUUUUUUAACACUGAUACAGUCGGACUAUUUUUAGACACAGCGAAUAUUUUAGCUUGAUUUGUUGUCAGUCAUGAUUUUAUGCAAGGUAUUUUUCUAAAUGAUAUUUUUAUUACAAAUACAAAAUGUAGCACAUUUGACAUUAAUGUAAAAAAGCAGGGACAGCGAAUUUUGUAAGAAAAAAAAUGUAGUUGGUUAAAUAUUUCAAAAAGUGUCUCAAAUUUUUGCUCUUUUGAACAGUUGCGUUUUAACUGGUCGGGGAUUGUUUCAAAAAUAAAUACAAUGUAUGCGUAGUUUAGUUGAUGUAUAAAAAGCUACUUUUUGCAACUUGUACAUUUUGGAGUGGGGGCUAAAUUCCAAACCCUCAUAUAGUUUAAAACAUAUAGAGGACAUUCCUUUGCUUCAGUGUAAGCUCGAAACAGAAACAUUCUAGUGUUCACACGUGAAAAUUUUUAAAAAGUAAUCACACGGAUUUUAUUCUAAUGCAUUUUAUUAUUAUUUUUACUUUAUAUUUUCUGCCAACGUAACGCCAUACGCUAUGUGCAACGUUACUCUACAUUUUAUGGCAAUACUUAUGUUGGAAAAAAGUGACAUAGUGACAUUUCAAUCUACAUGUAGUUAUGUUUUAGUUAAAAAGAUAUCCGAUUCUACGUUAUUCAUAUUCUUGCGUUAAACUGUGGUUACAUACAAGUGAAAAUUGUAUUUGGAUUUCUCACCUUUUAAGAGCGGCUUUAUCAGGGUAUAAUGCAUCGUCGUUUUCUUGAAAUCUUCUCAAAAUAUGGUAUAUAAUUCCAUAUGCUAGUAACUGCAGAAUGUACCGAUAAGACCUUAAUUCUUUUAUUCAAAUCCGCAUUCUAGUCCUUUGUCUGGGUCAUUUUAAUGUUGCUUUUAAAAGUCAUUUUGGCCUCAUUUUUGUACACUGAAUUUUACACACUGUUUGGCAUAACUUUUAACCAACACCUAACUCUGAGCACUAACCUUAACCAUUCGGGGCUGAAGUGACUGUUAAAGCAACUUUGUCUUUUAUGGGAACAAGACUAGCAUAUCUUUAUAAAUGAUGGGUGAAAAUUGUUGGCAAACUUUCAGGUUUUUGGUCUACGCUUUUAAUGAAGUACUGUAAUAAAACGUUAGAUUAUAACAUGAUAAAUUCAUUGUUUUAAACAGAGAGAAAUAUGAUGUUCACUAGAACGGAACUACAUUUGAACGCGAAAGGAUAUGAAUUGUAAGGACGUGAAAUAUGCUUAAAAGCAACAAAGCUGUAUAGUAA
This is a long non-coding RNA of Mercenaria mercenaria, 2641 nucleotides long. RefSeq lists it as uncharacterized. The transcript is spliced from 2 exons. The record is from RefSeq and is a predicted model, not a curated record. Lineage: Eukaryota; Metazoa; Mollusca; Bivalvia; Venerida; Veneridae.